GAUGAACGCUGGCGGCGUGCUUAACACAUGCAAGUCGAACGGAAAGGCCCAAGCUUGCUUGGGUACUCGAGUGGCGAACGGGUGAGUAACACGUGGGUGAUCUGCCCUGCACUUCGGGAUAAGCCUGGGAAACUGGGUCAAAUACCGGAUAGGACCACUUCUUGGAUGUUGUGGUGGAAAGUUUUUUCGGUGUGGGAUGAGCUCGCGGCCUAUCAGCUUGUUGGUGGGGUAAUGGCCUACCAAGGCGUCGACGGGUAGCCGGCCUGAGAGGGUGUACGGCCACAUUGGGACUGAGAUACGGCCCAGACUCCUACGGGAGGCAGCAGUGGGGAAUAGUGCACAAUGGGCGCAAGCCUGAUGCAGCGACGCCGCGUGGGGGAUGACGGCCUUCGGGUUGUAAACUCCUUUCGCUAGGGACGAAGCGUUUUGUGACGGUACCUGGAGAAGAAGCACCGGCUAACUACGUG
This 467-nucleotide ribosomal RNA is filed under the name uncultured bacterium. RNAcentral describes it as "partial 16S ribosomal RNA". It matches the Rfam family "Bacterial small subunit ribosomal RNA", at positions 28 to 507 of the family's 1533-position model. The record is from RNAcentral.